RNAcentral lists this ribosomal RNA (464 nucleotides) under uncultured bacterium. RNAcentral describes it as "partial 16S ribosomal RNA". It matches the Rfam family "Bacterial small subunit ribosomal RNA", at positions 339 to 795 of the family's 1533-position model. The record is from RNAcentral.
CUACGGGUCACACCAGUGGGGAAUAUUGGACAAUGGGGGAAACCCUGAUCCAGCAAUGCCGCGUGUGUGAAGAAGGCCUGCGGGUUGUAAAGCACUUUCGGUUGGGAGGACUGCUUCUAGCACUAAUAUUGUUGGAAGUUGACGUUACCUUCAGAAGAAGCACCGGCUAACUCCGUGCCAGCAGCCGCGGUAAUACGGAGGGUGCAGCGUUAAUCGGAAUUACUGGGCGUAAAGCGCGCGUAGGCGGCUAGAUCAGUCGGGUGUGAAAGCCCCGGGCUUAACCUGGGAACUGCAUCCGAUACUGUCUAGCUUGAGUACAGGAGAGGAGAGUGGAAUUCCACAUGUAGCGGUGAAAUGCGUAGAUAUGUGGAGGAACACCAAUGGCGAAGGCAGCUCUCUGGCCUGAUACUGACGCUGAGGUGCGAAAGCGUGGGGAGCAAACAGGAUUAGAUACCCUAGUAGUC